AACACGUGGAUAAUCUACCCGAUAGAUUGGGAUAACAUUUCGAAAGGAAUGCUAAUACCAAAUAAGCCCACAAUGUCCUAGGACGAAGUGGGAAAAGGUGGGGACCUUCGGGCCUGCCGUUAUCGGAUGAGUCCGCGGCCCAUUAGCUAGUUGGUAGGGUAAUGGCCUACCAAGGCUACGAUGGGUAGCUGGUCUGAGAGGAUGAUCAGCCACACUGGAACUGAGACACGGUCCAG
Molecule: ribosomal RNA, 236 nt
Filed under: uncultured bacterium
Lineage: Bacteria
Description: partial 16S ribosomal RNA
Rfam family: Bacterial small subunit ribosomal RNA
Source: RNAcentral